Molecule: transfer RNA, 66 nt
Filed under: human gut metagenome
Also listed under: 3 other names
Rfam family: tRNA
About the family: Transfer RNA (tRNA) molecules are approximately 80 nucleotides in length. Their secondary structure includes four short double-helical elements and three loops (D, anti-codon, and T loops).
Source: RNAcentral
GGAUUAGCUCAGUCGGUAGAGCGACGCAUUCGUAAUGCGUAGGUCGUGGGUUCAAGUCCCAUUUCC